Molecule: long non-coding RNA, 1354 nt
Organism: Quercus robur (English oak)
Lineage: Eukaryota; Viridiplantae; Streptophyta; Magnoliopsida; Fagales; Fagaceae
Exons: 5
Source: RefSeq, a predicted model, not a curated record
GCCAUGAAACACACAGAAUGGUGGACCAACAGCUAUUCUUCUUAUUGCAAGCGACUUGAUUGAGCCAUUGAAUAACAUUAUUACUCCUAGAGUCCUUAUUAGCAAAUCUUUGGGCGAUAUCAUUAAGAAAGCUCUAUCUAAUGGAGAGAUGGUUAACAUAAAUCUUUAUUGGCCUGAAACUCUUCCACAUCCCGCUGAGAAGGUUGAGUAUAAGUUUUGGACAAAUAUCAAUGACGAAUGUGGACCACAAUGUGACAGCCUGAUUGAUUUUUUCAAGAAAUUUAAAUGAGCAGCCUAGAUACUGGAGCAGAAAGGGUACACUCAGUUCACCCCACAUUAUAUGACUCAGUAUUGCCCAAGAAAUUUUGCUUCGAGCAUUCAGUGCAGGUCUCAGUGCAUCAAUCAUGGGAGGUACUGUGCUCCAAACCGCGAUCCGGAUUUUAUGAGACAGUAUGAAAGGAGGGAUGUUGUGUUGCAAAUUCUACACGAUGUUUGCUUUUUUAAGGUGGCCAAUGAAAGUGGAAGGCCUUGGCUUUGGUGGGACUAUAUGACAGAUUUGGCAAUCCGUUGCCCAAUGGAAGAGAAGUACAGUCUACACUGCUUAAAUCAAGUUGUUAAAUCCCUAAUUGGUAGUGAUCUCAAGAAAAUAGAAAAUUGUGUUGGAGACCUUAAUACGGAUAUUGACAACCCAGUUCUUAAAGCCGAAGGGAAUGCACAAAUAUAUACUCCCAGAAGUCUAAACUGUUCAUAGUGCUCUUAUAGCCUCACCUGUCUCUUCAAUUUCUAACUGAUUCUGUACUAAUGUUUUGCUCAUCUUGCUCUUUUACAACUCUAAUUUCAGCUUGACAGGGGCACCGGUGGAGAUAUUACUAUAUUGCCAACUCUUGUUAUAGACGACAGACCGUAUGAAGAUAUAAAAACAAAUGAGUGUUUGCACAACAAUGGUAGCUGCUGGAUACUUUUCGGGGAAGAGUAUGUAAAUGCCCUGUUGUGCAAGGUGAAAAGUAUGUUGGUGACGGUUAUACUCAUUGUGAAGGUGUUCAACUCAAGAAGAUAGAAAAAUGUGUGGGAGACACUACUUCAGAUUUUGACAACCCAAACAUUCUUGAAGAUGAACUCGUUGUACUGGAUCAGGAUGCACAGGUGCUACUACCAAUUUUCCAUGGAACUAUUUUGGGCUUGUCUCUUAAAUUUCUCAUUGCCUCUGCACUGUAUAUAUGUUUUUACUCAUCUUGCUUAGACUUUCUGGUUUUAGAUAGGCAACGACUCUUUUGGAAUUAUUUAUGACUAUAUUACAAACUCUUGUAAGUUGUAAUUUGUAGUAAAUAACAAACAGUACACUGGUUUGGGAAGC